Molecule: long non-coding RNA, 852 nt
Filed under: Monodelphis domestica (gray short-tailed opossum)
Lineage: Eukaryota; Metazoa; Chordata; Mammalia; Didelphimorphia; Didelphidae
Description: lncRNA (ENSMODG00000042448.1)
Source: RNAcentral
AAAAGAGGCAAAAGACAUUCAUCCCCUGCCCUCAUCCUUGCUUACCAUCUAUAUUUCCUUCUUGUCUGUGUCCCUUUUUGUACUUCUUUCUGGUUUCUUCUGGGCAUUUAAACGUAUUCACUGGUGCAUUUUUUUCAUCAUACUUACCCAUAAUCCCCCAUUAACACUCCCCCUUCCUCCAAUAAUAUAUGUGUGAGAGAAACACAGAGAGAGAAAGAGACAGAGAUAAGAAAGUGACAAAGAUAAGAAGAGACAGAGAGAAAGAAUUAGUAACUAGAGAGAAAGGAGGAAUCAGGAAAGGCAAUGGAACAUCAAAGAAAUUGUAUAAAAAUGUAUGUCAAGAGAAGGAGUAGUUAGAGCCAGCUCUCUGGAGGGAGGAGGAAAGGGAGAGAGAGAGAAACAGUCUGGAUAUUAUGACUUUGGAAAAUCUCUUAUGUAGGCAUCCUUCAGAUGUUAUCUCAGUGAGAAGACAGGAAAAGAAAGAAGAGUGGAGACAUGUAAGGAGGAGAGUAAAGGGGUCCAUUUAUAGAGGCAGUCAGAACCCAAACCAAGGACUGACCAGGCAAUCAGGCUUGUACCUGAAUUACAAAGGGGACUAAGGAGGAAGUCAUUCUUUAUUAUUGUCUGGCACCAUUUAACAUGUUGGGGCUGACGGGACCGCGAACUCAAAAGAGUCUGGAGACUUUCCUUGUACCUGGUGAGCUCCAUUUCCAUUUCUGCUAUGAUAUCUUGUUCAGUCAUUUUUCAGUCCUGCCUAACUCUUCAUGACCCCAUUUGGGGAUUUCUUGGCAAGUAUUUUAGGGGUUUGUCAUUUCUUUCUCCAGUUCAUUCUACAGAUGAGGAAACUGCAGC